This is a long non-coding RNA of Lolium perenne, 983 nucleotides long. RefSeq lists it as uncharacterized. The record is from RefSeq and is a predicted model, not a curated record. NCBI's taxonomy places the organism in Eukaryota, Viridiplantae, Streptophyta, Magnoliopsida, Poales, Poaceae.
GGAGAUGCCCUAAAUGCCAAAAAUCGAGCCUAACCGAACUCAACUCUCUCCUCCGCCGCACCCGCGACCGCGCCUACCUCCCUCUCUCUCGGUUCCCCGAUGCGCCACCGCCGCUUGCUGCGCCUUGCGCCCUACACCCGCGCCCCGCCGUUCCGCCCCUGGGCACGACGCUGAGGCUAACCCUAGUUGUGGGCUCGGUCGCCGCCGCGCCUCCUGGUUGUCCCCUUUGUGUCCCCGAAGCCAUGCCGCCACCGCGGACCGGGCGGAAGCCUCUCCCAAAGCGCGCGUGGAGGCCAGCUCCACCUUCAAGAGCGGCGUGCUCGUCUAUGGCGGCGAGCUCGUCUGAGGUCAUCAAGCGGCGAGCCCCCACCACGCCCAGAUUUGCUUUCGCGGCCAUGCGGGGAACCGCCGGAUGGAGCACCACCCGGAGCCUGCACAGCAGGGACAAGAAGGGCCCAUGGUCGACCGACCUGGGGCUGGAGGAAGGGGCGUAGCUGCUGCGCUGUGCCGGGCGGCCGGCCGGCCGGUGGCAGCUACAACCCUGCGACGGUCGUGGCUUACUAAUCGGAGAUCGAUGGGAUUGGGAUCUGAGCAAGGACUGGAGUAGAUUGGUUGUUCUGAUCGGAGGAAGUACUUCUUUCAAGGGACCAUGCUGAAUACUGAAGGCGAUGCUGAUCAUUGAUGCUGUACAGGAGCAUAUUCUUCUAAGUAGACAGGGUACACUGCUGAAGACUGGGAUCAACUGAAGGUGAUGCUGUCACGUUGUGAUGAUGUUUGAAUUGGAAACAUGGUGAUGAUGUUCACAGAGUACAUAUUGAGAUAUUGUGCUGAACAUCCACUACAUACUAUGUUGACACUGUGUUUACAGUGUGCAACUGAUAUUGGGUGAUAAUUACAGAAUAAAGUGCACUAGAUUAAUGUGUUGGCACUGUGUGCUUAUUCUUGUAUGACAGUACAUAUGUUCAUAUUGUGUGCUUCUUCUA